ACCGAUCUUAAAAGUGACCUUUUAAGAUCGGUUGUUUUAUAACCGAUCUUAAAAGUACUUUUAAGAUCGGU
RNAcentral lists this microRNA precursor (71 nucleotides) under Cajanus cajan (pigeon pea). Its description in RNAcentral is "miRNA gene-KK1_032030". Lineage: Eukaryota; Viridiplantae; Streptophyta; Magnoliopsida; Fabales; Fabaceae. The record is from RNAcentral.